GCAGGUUUAUGUUUUUAUUUAUGUAUUUUAACUGACUUAUUUGUGUAUCCCACUCUAACAAUACAUUCACAAUAUACUUGCAGAACUGUGCCUGGCACAUCAUGGGAGCAGAGAACUUGUCCAGUGAAUAGUUGUUGAAGAAAGGAGUAAAAUCUCCCCCAAACCCUAAAGGCAUCCUUUUCGUAAGGUGGGUGGCAGUGCAGUGACCUCCACCCUAGGCUGAGGAGAGAAGGAUCCAUUCCUCACUGCCCCAGAGCCUAGUACCUGCUCCUGACAAAGCAGGA
RNAcentral lists this non-coding RNA (284 nucleotides) under Pongo abelii (Sumatran orangutan). Lineage: Eukaryota; Metazoa; Chordata; Mammalia; Primates; Hominidae. The record is from RNAcentral.